Molecule: ribosomal RNA, 253 nt
Filed under: uncultured bacterium
Lineage: Bacteria
Description: partial 16S ribosomal RNA
Rfam family: Bacterial small subunit ribosomal RNA
Source: RNAcentral
UACGAGGGGGGCAAGCGUUGUUCGGAAUUAUUGGGCGUAAAGGGCGCGUAGGCGGUGCGGUAAGUCACCUGUGAAACCUCUAGGCUUAACCUAGAGCCUGCAGGCGAAACUGCCGUGCUUGAGGGUGGGAGAGGUGCGUGGAAUUCCCGGUGUAGCGGUGAAAUGCGUAGAUAUCUGGAGGAACACCGGUGGCGAAGGCGGGUCUCUGGGCAGUAACUGACGCUGAGGAGCGAAAGCGUGGGGAGCGAACAGG